GAGAGGGAAAAGAUCAAACUGAAAGAUUGCUAGUCUUACAGCCCCGUGGUUUAAGUCCACGGCCCGCUCG
This 70-nucleotide transfer RNA is filed under the name Xenoconger fryeri (Fryer's false moray). Its description in RNAcentral is "tRNA-Ser". Lineage: Eukaryota; Metazoa; Chordata; Actinopteri; Anguilliformes; Chlopsidae. The record is from RNAcentral.